CGGCGGACGGCUGAGUAACGCGUGGGAACAUACCCCAAAGUGAGGGAUAAGCAUCGGAAACGGUGUCUAAUACCGCAUGUGGUCUAAGGACUAAAGCCUUCGGGCGCUUUGGGAGCAGCCUGCGUAAGAUUAGUUUGUUGGUGAGGUAAUGGCUCACCAAGACUACGAUCUUUAGCUGGUCUGAGAGGAUGAUCAGCCAGACUGGAACUGAGACACGGUCCAGACUCC
RNAcentral lists this ribosomal RNA (228 nucleotides) under uncultured bacterium. RNAcentral describes it as "partial 16S ribosomal RNA". It matches the Rfam family "Bacterial small subunit ribosomal RNA", at positions 96 to 339 of the family's 1533-position model. The record is from RNAcentral.